This 497-nucleotide ribosomal RNA is filed under the name uncultured bacterium. Its description in RNAcentral is "partial 16S ribosomal RNA". It matches the Rfam family "Bacterial small subunit ribosomal RNA", at positions 28 to 507 of the family's 1533-position model. The record is from RNAcentral.
GAUGAACGCUGGCGGCGUGCCUAAUACAUGCAAGUCGAGCGAACAGACGAGGAGCUUGCUCCUCUGACGUUAGCGGCGGACGGGUGAGUAACACGUGGAUAACCUACCUAUAAGACUGGGAUAACUUCGGGAAACCGGAGCUAAUACCGGAUAAUAUAUUGAACCGCAUGGUUCAAUAGUGAAAGACGGUUUUGCUGUCACUUAUAGAUGGAUCCGCGCCGCAUUAGCUAGUUGGUAAGGUAACGGCUUACCAAGGCGACGAUGCGUAGCCGACCUGAGAGGGUGAGCGGCCACACUGGAACUGAGACACGGUCCAGACUCCUACGGGAGGAAGCAGUAGGGAAUCUUCCGCAAUGGGCGAAAGCCUGACGGAGCAACGCCGCGUGAGUGAUGAAGGUCUUCGGAUCGUAAAACUCUGUUAUUAGGGAAGAACAAAUGUGUAAGUAACUAUGCACGUCUUGACGGUACCUAAUCAGAAAGCCACGGCUAACUACGUG